This is a long non-coding RNA of Mytilus trossulus (common blue mussel), 894 nucleotides long. RefSeq lists it as uncharacterized. The record is from RefSeq and is a predicted model, not a curated record. NCBI's taxonomy places the organism in Eukaryota, Metazoa, Mollusca, Bivalvia, Mytilida, Mytilidae. The transcript has 2 exons.
AGCACCUGUGUACACGAUGGUGAUGUGUUAAUAUGGCAUGCUCACAGCAAAUGUCUUUUUUACGAUGACGGAGCUGACAGAAUUUGUCAAAAUAUAAGAUAUCACAUUGGUUUGAGCAUGAUUCCCAGCAAGAUUAUGAAGGGGCAUAUAUAUCAUAUAUACAUAGGAAAUAUAUAGUGUCACUAAAUUACUCUCAUACGGUACCUCACCUCUGUAGCUGUAAAUUGCAAAACGGUGGAUUCAUUCAUAAUUUUGAGUUACUUAUUGCAAUUGGAAAUAACGUUGAUAAAGCUAACAGCAUUAUGCCAUGAUGUUGAUGGGAUGUUCUGAUUGGACAAAAAGGAAAUUGUGAAUUGAACAAAUAGCAAACUUGAAAUUCAUAGGAAAAAAAGUAGGAAAUUGGAAUAAUGAAAAUUCAUAGUUUCAGUGAUUAUCUUACAAUCAUCAUGAUCAUUGUCAAUACUACAAGUGCAUCAUCAUGAUCAUAUAUAUCUGAAUUCACCUUGGAUAAUUAUACAUUUAAAAUAAGAAUUUGGAUAUAAUAAGAAUUUCUGUGCUGGCGUUGCUACUGUUGGCUUCAUGUACCACCAGCUGGGAGUGUUAAACCUUUUUGACCUUUCGUGAGGGUCUGUCACGGUCCGUCACAAUUGGUUAGUGUCAUAUAUGCAUGAUUAUGGAAGUUUCACCAACCUAGACAAGCUUUACAGCCCUGGCACGGUUGUUGGUUGCACUUAGAGUCAAAUGACAGCUUGCUGUAUACAUUUGUAGUUCAAAUAGUCUGAAUGAAUCUACAUGUAUGGUGACAAUCUUCUAAAUUACUGUUCAUUCUGAAACUGGCAUUUUAUACUAGUACAUGUAGUAGUCGAACAUAUUAAACAAUACAUGUACUUCAAA